This is a long non-coding RNA of Artibeus jamaicensis (Jamaican fruit-eating bat), 864 nucleotides long. RefSeq lists it as uncharacterized. The transcript is spliced from 3 exons. The record is from RefSeq and is a predicted model, not a curated record. NCBI's taxonomy places the organism in Eukaryota, Metazoa, Chordata, Mammalia, Chiroptera, Phyllostomidae.
AGAGCUGGUUAUCAGCAUGACUGUGUUUUGGUUUUAGCUGUGCCCCCGUCCGGGUCUGUGCGCCCUGCUUGGCAGCAGUGAGUGGUACUAUCAACUUCAACUGGUUUACUCAACCAUGGAGCAUCAUCCAGUGAGAAGUCUUCAGCAGGAAACUUUGCAAACCACUUUUGACACAUUGCAUCAGUUAGAGCUGGGGUCCACAAGGCCACUGACAGGUACCAGACUGCACAGAAGGAGAUUCCCUUUCAAGAUUACCACAAUGAGAUAGCACCUCCACCUGCCAAAAUGGCUACCAUCAAUAAAUCAACAAACAUCAAGUGCUGGCAAGAUGUUGAGAAAAGGAGACCCUAGAGCAUUGCUGGUGGGAAUCAUCUUACACUGCUGGAGCAGCUACUGUGGAAAACAUGGAGUUUCCUCAAAAAAUUAAAAAUGGAACUGCCUUUUGACCCAGUGAUUGCACUUCUGAGAAUAUAUCCUAAGAAUCCUGAAACACCAAUUUAAAAAAAAAUGUAUGUACCCCUAUGAUUAUAGCCAAGGUCUGGAAAUAGCCCCAGUGUCCCUCAGUACGUAAGUGAAUAAAAAAGCCAUGGUACAUUUACACAAGGGAAUACUACAUGGCCAUAAAAAAGAAGAAAUCUUACCUUUUGUGACAGCAUGGAUGGACCUGGAGAUUAUUAUGAUAAGUGAAAUAAGCCAGCCAGAGAAACACAAAUACCAUAUGUUCUCAUAUGUGAAAUAUACUGAACAAAAUAAACCAAGUAACUGAAUAAAAAUAGAGGCAUGGCUAUAUGGAACAGUUACAGUAGUCAGAGAGAAGGGGAGAGGGAAUAGAAGUUUAAGGGAUGAGCCAAAGAAGAUAUAUGC